RNAcentral lists this ribosomal RNA (616 nucleotides) under uncultured Alphaproteobacteria bacterium. Its description in RNAcentral is "bacterial SSU rRNA". It matches the Rfam family "Bacterial small subunit ribosomal RNA", at positions 55 to 718 of the family's 1533-position model. The record is from RNAcentral. Lineage: Bacteria; Pseudomonadati; Pseudomonadota; Alphaproteobacteria.
AUGCAAGUCGAGCGGGGCCCUUCGGGGUCAGCGGCGGACGGGUUAGUAACGCGUGGGAACGUGCCUUUUGCUUCGGAAUAGCCCUGGGAAACUGGGGGUAAUACCGGAUGUGCCCUGAGGGGGAAAGAUUUAUCGGCAAGAGAUCGGCCCGCGUCUGAUUAGGUAGUUGGUGGGGUAAUGGCCCACCAAGCCGACGAUCGGUAGCUGGUUUGAGAGGAUGAUCAGCAACACUGGGACUGAGACACGGCCCAGACUCCUACGGGAGGCAGCAGUGGGGAAUCUUAGACAAUGGGCGCCAAGCCUGAUCUAGCCAUGCCGCGUGGGUGAUGAAGGCCUUAGGGUCGUAAAGCCCUUUCGCCGGGGAAGAUAAUGACGGUACCCGGUAAAGAAACCCCGGCUAACUCCGUGCCAGCAGCCGCGGUAAUACGGAGGGGGUUAGCGUUGUUCGGAAUGACUGGGCGUAAAGCGCGCGUAGGCGGGUCAGGAAGUUGGGGGUGAAAUCCCGGGGCUCAACCCCGGAAUGGCCUUCAAACUCCUGGUCUUGAGUUCGAGAGAGGUGAGUGGAUUCCGAGUGUAGAGGUGAAAUUCGUAGAUAUUCGGAGGACACCAGUGGCGA